RNAcentral lists this ribosomal RNA (864 nucleotides) under uncultured bacterium. RNAcentral describes it as "bacterial SSU rRNA". It matches the Rfam family "Bacterial small subunit ribosomal RNA", at positions 8 to 917 of the family's 1533-position model. The record is from RNAcentral.
AGAGUUUGAUCCUGGCUCAGAGCGAACGCUGGCGGCAGGCUUAACCCAUGCAAGUCGAGCGGGCGUAGCAAUACGUCAGCGGCAGACGGGUGAGUAACGCGUGGGAACGUACCUUUUGGUUCGGAACAACACAGGGAAACUUGUGCUAAUACCGGAUAAGCCCUUACGGGGAAAGAUUUAUCGCCGAAAGAUCGGCCCGCGUCCGAUUAGCUAGUUGGUAGGGUAAUGGCCUACCAAGGCGUCGAUCAGUAGCUGGUCUGAGAGGAUGAUCAGCCACAUUGGGACUGAGACACGGCCCAAACUCCUACAGGAGGCAGCAGUGGGGAAUAUUGGACAAUGGGCGCAAGCCUGAUCCAGCCAUGCCGCGUGAGUGAUGAAGGCCCUAGGGUUGUAAAGCUCUUUUGUGCGGGAAGAUAAUGACGGUACCGCAAGAAUAAGCCCCGGCUAACUUCGUGCCAGCAGCCGCGGUAAUACGAAGGGGGCUAGCGUUGCUCGGAAUCACUGGGCGUAAAGGGUGCGUAGGCGGGUCUUUAAGUCAGGGGUGAAAUCCUGGAGCUCAACUCCAGAACUGCCUUUGAUACUGAAGAUCUUGAGUUCGGGAGAGGUGAGUGGAACUGCGAGUGUAGAGGUGAAAUUCGUAGAUAAUCGCAAGAACACCAGUGGCGAAGGCGGCUCACUGGCCCGAUACUGACGCUGAGGCACGAAAGCGUGGGGAGCAAACAGGAUUAGAUACCCUGGUAGUCCACGCCGUAAACGAUGAAUGCCAGCCGUUAGUGGGUUUACUCACUAGUGGCGCAGCUAACGCUUUAAGCAUUCCGCCUGGGGAGUACGGUCGCAAGAUUAAAACUCAAAGGAAUUGACGGG